Non-coding RNA from Stygiomarasmius scandens, 98 nucleotides. NCBI's taxonomy places the organism in Eukaryota, Fungi, Basidiomycota, Agaricomycetes, Agaricales, Campanellaceae. The record is from the annotation of a GenBank genome assembly.
UCCCUCUUAGCUCAGUGGUAGAGCGCGUCACUAGUAUCUUUACUUUUCCAUAGAUGUGGUUUAUGACGAGGUCAGUCGUUCAAGUCGGCUAGAGGGAA